RNAcentral lists this transfer RNA (64 nucleotides) under Ogcogaster segmentator. Its description in RNAcentral is "tRNA-Leu". Lineage: Eukaryota; Metazoa; Arthropoda; Insecta; Neuroptera; Myrmeleontidae. The record is from RNAcentral.
AUUAUCUUGGCAGAUUAGUGUGUUGAAUUUAGAAUUCAAAAAUGUAAAUUAUUUACAGAUAAUA